Molecule: long non-coding RNA, 659 nt
Organism: Mauremys reevesii (Reeves's turtle)
Lineage: Eukaryota; Metazoa; Chordata; Testudines; Geoemydidae
Exons: 4
Source: RefSeq, a predicted model, not a curated record
CUGAAACAUUCUAUUUUCCCUUUUGUCGCUAACAACAAGAACAGCAGCCCGAGCCUGGCACCCUCCAAGCCCAGCAUCUCAGGCGGUCGCCUGCCCCUAAAUCUGGCCCUGUCUAUACAGACUAACACGGCUGCUACUCUGAAACCUGGAAGGGGGAGCCAUGCACAGCAACCUGGCCGAAGGGCCAGGUGUCAAAGAAGAAGCACCUUGGAGUUGCAGAGACCGGUGGACAAAUCCCCAGAGGAGGCAGCUGCACCAGGAAGGAGCUAAUCCCCAGAGCAGCCAGGAGGAGGCACCACUGGCACAGAGAAAGGCAGAACACUAUCCAGUGGACAGAAAGGCAGAACACUAUCCAGUGGACAGAAAGGCAGAACACAAUCCAGAUCUGCGGGUAGUGAUCGAUCUAGGGGGGUUCGAUUUAUCGCGUCGAGUGUAGAUGCAAUAAAAUUGAUCGCUCUGCUGUUGACUCCGGAACUCCACCGCAGCGAGAGGCAGAAGCGGAGUUGAUGGGGGAGCACCAGCGGUUGACUCACCGCCAUCCUCACAGCCAGCUGCAACAGGAUAUCCAUUGUAAUAUCCACCUUGGAAACGAGAGUGGUGUAAUUAAAACCGCUACUUAGCCUCAGACACAAUGGAGGUUUCCAAGAUGAAGUGCACAU